This is a long non-coding RNA of Poecile atricapillus (Black-capped chickadee), 214 nucleotides long. RefSeq lists it as uncharacterized. NCBI's taxonomy places the organism in Eukaryota, Metazoa, Chordata, Aves, Passeriformes, Paridae. The transcript has 3 exons. The record is from RefSeq and is a predicted model, not a curated record.
UGAAAACUAUUCAACACUUGUCCUUCUCACACUUGACAGCAAGGACUCUUUCUGCUUUUGCUCCAGGCCUAGUGGCCAUGUCACAUCGGGCUCAAGCUUUUUGGCAUUUCAAGUAGAAGUAGAAGAAGAUUAAUGGCCCCACAGCAUCUGUUACUCCAACCACCACAGCUGGAGUUAGAAGGAAAUGGGUCACACUGAGACAUAUGGAGAAAGG